UAGGGAAUCUUCCACAAUGGACGCAAGUCUGAUGGAGCAACGCCGCGUGAGUGAAGAAGGUUUUCGGAUCGUAAAGCUCUGUUGUUGGUGAAGAAGGAUAGAGGCAGUAACUGGUCUUUAUUUGACGGUAAUCAACCAGAAAGUCACGGCUAACUACGUGCCAGCAGCCGCGGUAAUACGUAGGUGGCAAGCGUUGUCCGGAUUUAUUGGGCGUAAAGCGAGCGCAGGCGGAAUGAUAAGUCUGAUGUGAAAGCCCACGGCUCAACCGUGGAACUGCAUCGGAAACUGUCAUUCUUGAGUGCAGAAGAAGAGAGUGGAACUCCAUGUGUAGCGGUGGAAUGCGUAGAUAUAUGGAAGAACACCAGUGGCGAAGGCGGCUCUCUGGUCUGCAACUGACGCUGAGGCUCGAAAGCAUGGGUAGCGAACAGGAUUAGAUACCCUGGUAGUCCAUGCCGUAAACGAUGAGCGCUAGGUGUUGGGGACUUUCCGGUUCUCAGUGCCGCAGCAAACGCAUUAAGCGCUCCGCCUGGGGAGUACGACCGCAAGGUUGAAAC
RNAcentral lists this ribosomal RNA (554 nucleotides) under uncultured bacterium. RNAcentral's name for it is "partial 16S ribosomal RNA". It matches the Rfam family "Bacterial small subunit ribosomal RNA", at positions 355 to 900 of the family's 1533-position model. The record is from RNAcentral.